UGCUACUUUGGAAUGUAGCUCUGUAUUGUAGUGCUUGGCAAAGGUUUCCUAAAGUAAUCCUUUGUCCAUGUGGUUAUAUCAGCUAUUGAUGAAUGGUGGUUCUUGAUGCAACAGGUGUGUUGAG
Long non-coding RNA from Thalassophryne amazonica, 124 nucleotides. RefSeq lists it as uncharacterized. The transcript has 3 exons. The record is from RefSeq and is a predicted model, not a curated record. NCBI's taxonomy places the organism in Eukaryota, Metazoa, Chordata, Actinopteri, Batrachoidiformes, Batrachoididae.